UGAUGCGCUGAUGUAGGCUGCCACAAGUGUAUACUAACAAUGUAAUGCCUAUUUUUAAUAAAGCAGCAACAAUAUCCUUUCAUAGUACAUGUUAUUUAUUCUAAUUUGUUUAGUUUAAGUGCUUUUAAGUCUCACGAGCCAAGAAUUUUCUGCACAUCACGACGCAACGGCGGGGGGAAAAAACCCGGUAAAGGUUAUUGUUUGUGGAUCGCGUUAUUUAAUAGUAUUUAAGAGAGCAUAUUGAAUUGCAUUGUUGGCAAAUAUGGACCGGCAACCAUAUCAGCUAUCGUGGCCGUCGGCAGCUUCACUGGGAGCAGAAGGAGGCUGCUGAGCUGAGAAGUCUGGAGGAGGAGGCUGGAAAGACGUCGCGCUAUCCCAGCGUCUCUGGCUUUGAUCAAAAUCCUCGGAGGUACGUGCAAAUAAACAACCAUGUGCCGAUCCUCUGCACGUUCUUCUAUGAGGCCGACCUGAAACCAGCUUUUAGACUCCAGAGAUCCAUCAACGUGCUGCUCCAGAUGUUGCCUCGGCAACAGCCUCAUGGAUGGAGCCAUGACAUGGAGGUGGCUGUGUCUCUGUGCUGGCUGGCAUGAAGGCACCUCCUACAGAGUGUCAGCAGACUCUUCACCAUACCCAGAGCCACAGUUGGCAGGAUAGUCCACAGUGUAGUGGAGGAGAUGAUGGCCAUCCAUUUCCCCAAGCCAGGAGAGAUGGAGGAGGUGGGGGCUCCACUGUGCGGCUGGUGGCAUAGAUGGUGCCAUGUCAGAAUCCUCCCACCUGCUGAACCACAAAAGAAGUGCUAUUUGAACCGCAAGCUCUUCCCUUCGGUGUGAAGGAGUUGUAGAAGGAGUCCCUCUACCCACCAGCUGCUGCUUCCUCCUUGGAGACGGGGCUACCCUUGCCUGCAGCAUCCUGUGACCCUCAUGACCCCAUACCACCAUCCUGUAGCAAGCCAAGUUGAAGCAGAUUCAACAGGCACCCUGCCAAGGCCAGGAACGUGAUUGAGCGGAACCU
Molecule: long non-coding RNA, 1011 nt
Organism: Cololabis saira (Pacific saury)
Lineage: Eukaryota; Metazoa; Chordata; Actinopteri; Beloniformes; Belonidae
Exons: 3
Source: RefSeq, a predicted model, not a curated record